This is a long non-coding RNA of Odocoileus virginianus texanus, 840 nucleotides long. RefSeq lists it as uncharacterized. The record is from RefSeq and is a predicted model, not a curated record. NCBI's taxonomy places the organism in Eukaryota, Metazoa, Chordata, Mammalia, Artiodactyla, Cervidae.
ACCGCGGGCCAAAGAGCUCCGCCUCUGCAUAUAGGCCCGUGUAGUACCGCGGCUCGACUGUAGUGUUGCCUUACUCUCUCAUUUGAAGCUUCUGUGACUGCAACUUGCACAGCUCCGUCGUGAUGUCUGAGGCUCUCGGACGCAGCCGUCAUUCCCUUGAAGGCACAAUGAGGAAAAACCUAACAUCUGGUUGUUGAAGACUUUACAAGACCAUUCCUCAUUUAAGCCAAGUCCACUUAAUAAGUCCUGGAGAAUGUUCUACUCAAGGCAACAAGUACACACAGAGCCCAAAUGAACUAUAAUUAAGGUGGCAAGAGACCAAGGAAAAGAGCAGUGUUAGUUCAAUUGUUUCCUUUGCACGGGUAACAGAUGGACUCCAAGCUCUAAUAACCCUUUUGUACUUCAGCUAAGGCUGACAAUACAUCAUUAUACUCAGAUGGAAGCAAGAAGAAGGUGCCUAGCAACUUGGACUUGGAAUGCCUAGGCUUUUGUCAAUUUACAUCAUAAUCUUAAUAGUAAACAGGCUUGCUCUCAUUUGCCAGUCAUCACCUCAUUUUAUGCUUUUCAAACACAAGAAGAUUAAAUAGUCUUUCUUGAAAGUACUUUAGCCCCUUAGAUAUAGAACAGUAGUAGUAUUUAAGAGUCUCCCCUUAUAACUGUGUACAUAAAACUGCCAUUAGCCUUGAUGGAAAUUAUAUCAGUAAGUUGGGGGGCCUACUAUGGGUAAUAUUUUCAUUAGCAAAAGUAUGCACAUAACCCAGGCUCUUUUUGGAUUUCAGUAGGAUACCAAGGACUAUUUUUGGGGCCUCAUUACUCUUGUAUUCUUGUGCUUUAUGUAUA